GCAGCUCUCAGUCUCUGUAAUUCCCAGCAGUAGGAGCUCUCGUUUUUCAUAGAAGGGUGGUGGUUCUUCAUUGGUUUUUUCCCCUCUCUCUUUGGAAGGCAAUUGGCAUAGCAUGGGGCUGUUCCUGAGCCUGGAAAAACACCCAUAAAUCGAAGAAGGAGCUGCUGAAACGAAGCAGAAAAGCUGGACAGAUUUUCGGCC
This 201-nucleotide long non-coding RNA is filed under the name Olea europaea (common olive). RNAcentral's name for it is "long non-coding RNA (OEUR_LNC009653)". Lineage: Eukaryota; Viridiplantae; Streptophyta; Magnoliopsida; Lamiales; Oleaceae. The record is from RNAcentral.